CCUACGGGAGGCUGCAGUGGGGAAUAUUGGACAAUGGGGGCAACCCUGAUCCAGCCAUGCCGCGUGUGUGAAGAAGGCCCUCGGGUUGUAAAGCACUUUCAGUGAGGAAGAACGCCUAGUGGUUAAUACCCAUCAGGAAAGACAUCACUCACAGAAGAAGCACCGGCUAACUCCGUGCCAGCAGCCGCGGUAAUACGGAGGGUGCGAGCGUUAAUCGGAAUUACUGGGCGUAAAGCGCGCGUAGGUGGCUUGAUAAGCCGGUUGUGAAAGCCCCGGGCUCAACCUGGGAACGGCAUCCGGAACUGUCAAGCUAGAGUGCAGGAGAGGAAGGUAGAAUUCCCGGUGUAGCGGUGAAAUGCGUAGAGAUCGGGAGGAAUACCAGUGGCGAAGGCGGCCUUCUGGACUGACACUGACACUGAGGUGCGAAAGCGUGGGUAGCAAACAGGAUUAGAUACCCGAGUAGUC
This 465-nucleotide ribosomal RNA is filed under the name Vreelandella stevensii. RNAcentral's name for it is "partial 16S ribosomal RNA". It matches the Rfam family "Bacterial small subunit ribosomal RNA", at positions 338 to 795 of the family's 1533-position model. Lineage: Bacteria; Pseudomonadati; Pseudomonadota; Gammaproteobacteria; Oceanospirillales; Halomonadaceae. The record is from RNAcentral.